Molecule: long non-coding RNA, 235 nt
Filed under: Phoenix dactylifera (date palm)
Lineage: Eukaryota; Viridiplantae; Streptophyta; Magnoliopsida; Arecales; Arecaceae
Description: long non-coding RNA (PDAC_LNC013626)
Source: RNAcentral
AGAACGUCCGACCUAGAGAGUUCUCGACCUCGGAGGUCCAUCCUUGUCGCCCACCUACCAUAGCCGUACCCUUCCGAGGUCCGGCCGAGGGCCAUAUCCUGCCACUGCCCCAGCAUUUAUUACGCAUGAUCUCCGCAAACCCACGGUUCACUCAACAAUUAAUGCGCAUCUCCGGCUUACUCAACAAUUAAUGCGCAUGGCUCCUAUUAUCUACGGAUCCUCAGCUCUCCACGGC